This 429-nucleotide ribosomal RNA is filed under the name uncultured bacterium. RNAcentral's name for it is "bacterial SSU rRNA". It matches the Rfam family "Bacterial small subunit ribosomal RNA", at positions 355 to 776 of the family's 1533-position model. The record is from RNAcentral.
UGGGGAAUCUUGCGCAAUGCGCGAAAGCGUGACGCAGCAACGCCGCGUGCGGGAAGACGGCCUUCGGGUUGUAAACCGCUUUCAGUUGGGACGAAGGUUCGCCGGUGAAUAGCCGGCUGGACUGACGGUACCUUCACAAGAAGCCCCGGCUAACUACGUGCCAGCAGCCGCGGUAAUACGUAGGGGGCAAGCGUUGUCCGGAAUCAUUGGGCGUAAAGCGCGUGUAGGCGGCUUGUUAAGUCUUCUCUGAAAGUCCAGGGCUCAACCCUGGAAUGCGGGAGGAUACUGGCAAGCUCGAGUCCGGAAGAGGCGAGUGGAAUUCCUGGUGUAGCGGUGAAAUGCGCAGAUAUCAGGAGGAACACCAAUGGCGAAGGCAGCUCGCUGGGACGGUACUGACGCUGAGACGCGAAAGCGUGGGGAGCAAACAGG